RNAcentral lists this ribosomal RNA (253 nucleotides) under uncultured bacterium. RNAcentral describes it as "partial 16S ribosomal RNA". It matches the Rfam family "Bacterial small subunit ribosomal RNA", at positions 524 to 776 of the family's 1533-position model. The record is from RNAcentral.
UACGGAGGAUCCAAGCGUUAUCCGGAAUCAUUGGGUUUAAAGAGUCCGUAGGCGGCCCUGUAAGUCAGUGGUGAAAUCUCACGGCUCAACCGUGAAAUUGCCAUUGAUACUGCAGGGCUUGAAUUACUAGGAAGUAACUAGAAUAUGUAGUGUAGCGGUGAAAUGCUUAGAGAUUACAUGGAAUACCGAUUGCGAAGGCAGGUUACUACUAGUGGAUUGACGCUGAUGGACGAAAGCGUGGGUAGCGAACAGG